UACUCAUAAACCUGUAUAUAUGAAAUACAUGAAAUAUUUUCACCUUAAAAAUUGAAAAAAAAAUAAGUCUUCUUUUCCUACUGAAUAUUACUAACAUAAAAAUCACACAUCUAUGGGUCUAUUUUUGUACUCUCAAUUCUACUCUAUUGGUCUUAAGUCUAUAUUUAUGCUAAUUACCACAGUCUACUUUUUACUGUAGCUUUGUAAUAAGGUAGUAAUUUCUGAAAUAGAAAAGUUUGAGCUUCCAACUAUGUUGUUUUUAAAUGUCAUUAUAUCAAUUGUGGUUCUCUUAAAAAUUUAUUUUUUCGUAUGAAUUUAAGAGUGUGCUUGUGCAUUGUUGAAAUUGUGGAACACAGUAUGGAAAUUUCUUUAAAAACCAGGAAUAGUUUUGCCAUAUGAUCCAGAAAUCCUAUUACUGGGUAUAUACCCAAAGGACAUAAACAUGUUGUAUCAAGGAGAUACAUGCACCAUCAUGUUUAUAGCAGUACUGCUAACAAUAGCCACAAUAUGGAGAGGAAGAGAGAGUGGGAUGGACGGGGAAGGGUGGGAAGGAGGAAGAGAAUACCAUUAUAUUCUUAGAAUUGUAUCUAUGAACUAUAUUGAAUGUGUUCUCUUUGUAUUAAAAUCACAUUAAAAUGAAAAAACAAAGUAUCAGGUGGUACCAAAAAAUAAGAAAAGAAAGGGAUAAUGGCUGGCCCUUCAUGCAUACCUCCAACAGAUCUGUGGCCAUCCCAUAAAUGUGGAGUGGCUCAGUGUUCACAUGUUAUUUAUCCAAUGUGAGUUCAGGAUAUGUGUAUGUAUGUGUGUGUAGGGGCAGGUUUCAUGGCUUUUCAGGAAGACAGAGCUGAAAAGCAUCAUCUAUAUUGGAGGAAUCAAAAACUAUUUGCAACUAUAAUAUACACUAUUAAUAAAUAAUCUUAUGGUCACUUUAAGUCAUACACACUUCAUGUCAGAAAUUUAAAUGUCUGCUUGAAGAUAGUAAUCACGUAAAGUCUUAAUUGCUAAGCCAGAUGUCUGCCCCUCCUUAUGAGCCUCUUAAUUGAUUAUAUUAGCCCUGACUCUUAUCUACUUUCUAAGGCAUUGGAAAUAUUAAAUGCUUGCUUACAAAUGUUUUUGAUUUGUGCCCCCUUAGGACAAAAAUUUAGCACUGAGUGAGCUCUGACCCAGGUCACAGAGAGCUAAAUCAUUCAUGUGGGGUCUUUCAGGGAGCAAUUUGACAGGUUGAAUCAAUCAAAUGAAGUUAGUUAAACAGCCAUUUGCAGAGUGAUUAAAGAAAAAAAAAAUGAUCCAAGAAGGAGGACUGCUGUGAAUUGAUCUUAAUCAACAAGGCAGCAGAGGUAGCUCUUGGAGGUGAGAGGCAGUAGGCAUUAUAUGUUUCCUGUCUCCCAACCUCACUGAUAAUGGGAUAUUACAAGAAAGUAAUUAUCAUAUCAAACUCUUAUAUUAUUUGUGUAUUCGUUAUUGAAUAGUCACAAAGACUUUCAUGCCUACAGUAUGACUCCUCACUCUGUGACCUCAGAUCCUCCAAAUAUGCCAAACUUGAAUAGUUCCUAUGUUAUGGACCCCAGAUCAGCUACCUUCUGGAUGAGGUGAUAUAAGCAUUUGUAAAGAUAGGAAGACUCAGGUCCCAAACAAGUUCUAAUGAUAACGAUGAAUUGAAAGUGUUAGACAUUUGUAUUUGGCAGGUUUUUAUAUUUGAUUCUUGAAAGGGCAUUGGAGCAUAUAAAAUAUUGCUAGCCAAAAACAGCCCUUGCACAUCAUUUACUUUCACCAGUGAGGUUAAAUCAAUAUUUCUUUUGUAAAUCAACACCUUGUAGGAUUUCAGUAGGUUUAGAAUAAAUACUUGCAAUACAGCAUAGUCACCUUGGAAUGUGGAUUUUUUAACUUUUUUAUUUUAAAAUACUUGAUUAACAAAUUAAAAUUGUAUAUACUUAAAAUGUAUAACAUGACAGAAAGUGGAUUAUUGAUUGUAGUACUCUAAGUACUAACUGUUCCUAUGAAGCAAAUUAAAAUUAAUUCACACACAUAAAUAUGCACAGUGCAUAUAUUCAAAUACACAUCCACAUACAAUAUCCUUUGUAUGGAAGCAUUUUAAAAUAAAUUGCCAGGGCUGGCACUGUGGCAUAGCAGGUAAAGCCACCACCUGCAGUGCCAGUAUACCAUAUGGGCACCAGUUCGAGACCCAGCUGCUCCACUUCCGAUCCGGCUUUCUGCUAUGGCCUGGGAAAGCAGUGGACAUUUGGAGAGAGAACCAGCAGAUGGAAGACCUCUCUCUCUCUCUCUGCCUUUCCUUCUCUCUCUGUGUAACUCUGCCUUUCAAAUAAAUAAAUAAACCUUAAAAAAAUAAAUUGCCAUACAGAAAUUAUAACAAGGAAACAAGUCAUAUUUUACUAAACCUUUGUCAUCUAGACUCCUUUAUUGCAUUACCUUCUAUGCCCCAAGAAAAACAAACAUUUCAUCUUCCCUGAAUCCCUAACCCAUUGUACCCCAGAGCAAUGUAGUUUUCUGAAUGCACUCUACUGGCAGGUCUUCUCCAUUGACAUUGAGAUUGUUUUGUCACAAAAAAAUUAUAAUUGAAAUAAAAUUCUUUUUAAGUGCUUCCUGUGAUUUGUUUGUCAUUCCUUCUAUUCUUUUGAUUUUUCAUAUCUAGGAGGAAUUGGGGUGGGAGGGUAGAACAUGAGUGUGAGUCAGUAGAAGUAGCUACCAUUUGACUGUGUAGAAUCACAAAUAAGUAGAUACACACUUUGGUUCUUGCCUCUCUCCAUUCCUUUUCACCUCAACUUCAUCAAAGGUUUUGAUUAUGCAAGAGGUUGGGCUGGCAUUAAACACAGAAAUAAGAAAAGUAUGGAGCAAAUUAAAAUCUUUUUCCAUUACUGAGGCACAAAUAUAAAAAUGAGCAUGCUGUUAUGAAGACUACAUUUCUCUACCAAAUAGAAUGUCUUUUCAUUUUUGAAAGAUUUAUUUAUUUAUUUGAGAGGCAGACUUUUAGUGAGAGAGAGACUGAGAGAGAGAUCUUCUACCCACUGGUUCAAUCUCCAAAUGGUCACAAUAGCCAGUUCAGGGCCAGGCCGAAGUCAAGAGCCAGAAACUUCAUCCAGGUCUCCCACAUGAGCUCAGGGUCCCAAACAUUUGGGCCACCUUCCACUGCUUUUUCCCAGGCCCAUUUAGCAGGGAGCUGGAUUGGAAAUAGAGCAGCUGGGACUGGAACCAGCACUCAUGUGGGAUGCCAGAGUUGCAGGCUAUAUCUUUAACCUGCUGAGUCACAGUGCUGGCCCCACAGAAUGUCUUUUCUUACACCAGUCCUCUAAAAAUGAGAUUCCAGGAAGAUCUUUUGACUUUUGUAGUUGUGAGUUUUUUGGAAUAGUCAGAAGGCUUCCAUGGAAAGAGUAGAGUGGCAGACAUCACAGUGAUUCUCCUAACAGUUUAUAAAAAACGUCUUUUACUAGACUUUGUGUAUCUUUGGAGACAGAAAUUGAAUCUUACUUUUGUAUCUCCACCUUUGAAUAGUUAAUAGAUGCUCAAAAAUGUACAUUGAACAAAAAAGAAAUGAGUAAAUAACAAACCAAUAAAAGAAAUAAGCCAGCAGCUCAAAGAAAUGAAAGGAAAACAGAAUCCUAGAAAAGCCAAAAGAGAUAAUUCAACUCUUUGACCAGCAGAGGGUAGAUUAAGCCUAUUUCUUUUUUCUUGAAAUAACAAGAUGAAAAUAUUUUUACUUUUUCCUUUAGUAACUUGUCUAAAUAUUCUGGAAACUUCCUAGAAUCAAAAAAUUGGUCUCAGAAGAAUAUCUGUAAAGUGAUUUUGGUUAGAUAUAUAAGUGAGAAUUUAUCAUAUCCCUCUUUGAUAUUCUAAACAAUUAGAAUGAAGAGUGACUUGAGGCAAGUAUGAGAGUGAGGGGUGACUGUGUACACACUGACUGUUACAGGCAGAUGUGAUGACUGAGCACAGACCUUGAAGAAGGAAGAAGCGGUUAGAUUUCCAACUGGGGAAGGACUUGGUAUUUAUUGAGUGAAGUGAAAAGGCUUUGUGGAAUUUCACUGAAGGAAUGUAAUAAUUGGGGCUACUGUGAUAUCAGAAUGGAGACAGAGAAUUAACUUUAGUAACCAGUCCAUUAGGGCACAUGAGAAAUUUUCAGUUUGAGGAGAAAGAAAACAGGUUAAAAAAGAUAAUCUCAGGAAAUGAUAAACAUAGAAAACAACGGUGAUGUGAUGUGAUAAAGGCUCAGGAAUGAGGUGCUACUUUCUCUACUUUAGAUAAAGUCUUUCUUAGGAGGUGACAUUUUAGCUUAGAUCUGAAGAUGAGAAAAUGUGGUUAUAUGCAUAAAUAUCGGUGGAAGAUUCUUGAACAAAGAAUAGCAAGGAGGGCACUGCUCAAACAGAUGCCCCAAUGGUAUGGUCUUUUAAUGUCGUUGAAAUGUGGGAGGUAUAUGGUAUAAUUGAAGGGUACAAUCUUCAGAACCAGGUUAUUUAUCCUGCAAUUCCCAAUUUGCCUCUAAUCAGUGGUAUUGCCUAAGAUCAGUCACUAAACCACUCUGGCCUUUGCUUUCUUCAUUUGAAAAUGGGAAAUAUGAAAUCUAGUGGACAGUGCUGUUGUGACAAUUAGAUGAGGGAAAUCACAUAAAGCAGCCAGUAGUUCUCCUGAUGUAUGUUUUGGAUUUGAUGCAUGUUACUCCUUUCUUAAAAUAAGGAAAAAUAUGGGGCAGAUUUUUGGCACAGCAGUUAUGAGGCCACUUGGGAAAUUUGUAUCCCAAAUCAGAGUUCUUGGGUUUGAGUACUGACUCUGCUUCCAAUCCAGUUUCCUGCUAAUGCACAUCUUGAGAGGCAGUGUGUGAUGGUUCAAGUGGUUAUAUUCUUGACACUCAAGUAGGGGGCUCAGAGUGAGUUCUAGGCUUCUACCUUUGGCCAGCGAAGCCCAGUUGAGUUAGGGGAAUGAACCCACAGAUGUAAGAUCUCAUUCUCUCUCUCUCUCUCUUUCUCUCUAAUAGUUAAAACAUUUUUUAAAGAUUUAUUUAUUUGAAAGGCAGUGUUACAGAGAGGCAGAGGCAGAGAGAGAAAAAGAGAAAGAGAGAGAGAAAGUGAGAGAGAUCUUCCAUCACUGGUUCACUCCCCAGAUGGCCACAAUAGCCAGCACUGUGCUGAUCCAAAGACAGGAGGAGCCAGGAGCUUCUUUUGGGACUCCUACAGGGGUGCAGGGGCCUAAGGACUUGGGCCAUCUUCUACUGCUUUCCCAGGCCAUAGCGAAGAGAUAGAUCAGAAGUGGGGCAGCCGGACCCAGAACCGGCGCCCAUCUGGGAUGCCAGUGCCAGAGGCAGCAGCUUUACCUGUUUUGCACAGUGCCAGCCCCUAAACCAUUUAAAAAAUAAAAUAAAAACUAAAUGCUUAUUUCUUUAAAGAAUAACAAUAAAAUGAGACAAAGGAAAAUGUCAUUUAGCUGCAUAAGGUAAAGAUGCCUUUUUUUUU
Oryctolagus cuniculus (rabbit) is the source of this 5456-nucleotide non-coding RNA. The record is from RefSeq and is a predicted model, not a curated record. Lineage: Eukaryota; Metazoa; Chordata; Mammalia; Lagomorpha; Leporidae.